RNAcentral lists this ribosomal RNA (500 nucleotides) under uncultured bacterium. RNAcentral's name for it is "partial 16S ribosomal RNA". It matches the Rfam family "Bacterial small subunit ribosomal RNA", at positions 30 to 523 of the family's 1533-position model. The record is from RNAcentral.
AUUGAACGCUGGCGGCAUGCCUUACACAUGCAAGUCGAACGGCAGCACGGGAGCAAUCCUGGUGGCGAGUGGCGAACGGGUGAGUAAAGUAUCGGAACGUGCCCAGUCGUGGGGGAUAACGUAGCGAAAGUUACGCUAAUACCGCAUACGAUCUAUGGAUGAAAGCGGGGGAUCGCAAGACCUCGCGCGAUUGGAGCGGCCGAUAUCAGAUUAGGUAGUUGGUGGGGUAAAGGCUCACCAAGCCGACGAUCUGUAGCUGGUCUGAGAGGACGACCAGCAACACUGGGACUGAGACACGGCCCAGACUCCUACGGGAGGCAGCAGUGGGGAAUUUUGGACAAUGGGCGAAAGCCUGAUCCAGCCAUGCCGCGUGCAGGAUGAAGGCCUUCGGGUUGUAAACUGCUUUUGUACGGAACGAAAAGGUUUGGCCUAAUAAGCUGAGCUCAUGACGGUACCGUAAGAAUAAGCACUGGCUAACUACGUGCCAGCAGCCGCCGCGG